Molecule: small RNA, 238 nt
Filed under: Salmonella bongori
Lineage: Bacteria; Pseudomonadati; Pseudomonadota; Gammaproteobacteria; Enterobacterales; Enterobacteriaceae
Description: SgrS RNA
Rfam family: SgrS RNA
About the family: In sugar transport-related sRNA (SgrS) is induced under conditions of glucose phosphate stress in E.coli. This small RNA acts to negatively regulate the translation and stability of the ptsG mRNA, which encodes the major glucose transporter in E. coli.
Source: RNAcentral
GAUGAAGCAAGAGGAAGAGGUCGCUAUGCGUCAGUUCUGGUUGAGGUAUUUUGCCGCGACGGAAAAUGUGUCCUGGCUGGCUUGCCUGAGCGCGCAGCAGCGCUUAAAAAUGCUCGAAGAACUGAUGCAGUGGGAGGCGGCCGAUUGAAACCAAUUGCAGACAUCAUGUGUGACUGAGUAUUGGUGUGGGCUAUAGCCUAAAAUCACCCGCCAGCAGAUAAUACCUGCUGGCUUUUUU